UCUCCGUAGGUGAACCUGCGGAGGGAUCAUUACAGAGUUCAUGCCCUACCGGGUAGAUCUCCCACCCUAUGUUAUUAUUACUUUGUUGCUUUGGCGGGCCGUUAGGCUCCGGCCCGACUACCGGCCCCGGCUGGUAAGCGCCCGCCAGAGGACCCAAAACCCUGAAUAUUAGUGUCGUCUGAGUAUUAUAUAAUAGUUAAAACUUUCAACAACGGAUCUCUUGGUUCUG
RNAcentral lists this unclassified non-coding RNA (229 nucleotides) under plant metagenome. RNAcentral's name for it is "partial contains small subunit ribosomal RNA, internal transcribed spacer 1, and 5.8S ribosomal RNA". The record is from RNAcentral.